RNAcentral lists this ribosomal RNA (494 nucleotides) under uncultured bacterium. RNAcentral's name for it is "partial 16S ribosomal RNA". It matches the Rfam family "Bacterial small subunit ribosomal RNA", at positions 28 to 507 of the family's 1533-position model. The record is from RNAcentral.
GACGAACGCUGGCGGCGUGCUUAACACAUGCAAGUCGAACGGUGAAGCGCCUUCCUUUUUGGUGGGUGUGGAUGAGUGGCGAACGGGUGAGUAACACGUGAGUAACCUGCCCCCUUCUUCUGGAUAACCGCAUGAAAGUGUGGCUAAUACGGGAUAUUCUGGGUCUGGCGCAUGAUGGGUCUGGGAAAGAUAUUGUUUCGGUGGGGGAUGGGCUCGCGGCCUAUCAGCUUGUUGGUGGGGUGAUGGCCUACCAAGGCGGUGACGGGUAGCCGGCCUGAGAGGGUGGACGGUCACACUGGGACUGAGACACGGCCCAGACUCCUACGGGAGGCAGCAGUGGGGAAUAUUGCACAAUGGGCGCAAGCCUGAUGCAGCGACGCCGCGUGAGGGAUGGAGGCCUUCGGGUUGUGAACCUCUUUCGCCAGUGAAGCAGGCCUGCCUCGUUUGUGGGUGGGUUGACGGUAGCUGGAUAAGAAGCGCCGGCUAACUACGUG